CCUACGGGAGGCAGCAGUGAGGAAUAUUGGUCAAUGGGCGCGAGCCUGAACCAGCCAAGUAGCGUGAAGGAUGACUGCCCUACGGGUUGUAAACUUCUUUUAUAAAGGAAUAAAGUGAGGCACGUGUGCCUUUUUGUAUGUACUUUAUGAAUAAGGAUCGGCUAACUCCGUGCCAGCAGCCGCGGUAAUACGGAGGUUCCGAGCGUUAUCCGGAUUUAUUGGGUUUAAAGGGAGCGUAGAUGGGUUGUUAAGUCAGUUGUGAAAGUUUGCGGCUCAACCGUGGAAGUGCAGUUGAUACUGGCAGCCUUGAGUACAGUGGAGGUAGGCGGAAUUCGUGGUGUAGCGGUGAAAUGCUUAGAUAUCACGAAGAACUCCGAUUGCGAAGGCAGCUUACUAAACUGCCACUGACGUUGAUGCUCGAAAGUGUGGGUAUCAAACAGGAUUAGAUACCCGUGUAGUC
RNAcentral lists this ribosomal RNA (460 nucleotides) under uncultured bacterium. RNAcentral's name for it is "partial 16S ribosomal RNA". It matches the Rfam family "Bacterial small subunit ribosomal RNA", at positions 338 to 795 of the family's 1533-position model. The record is from RNAcentral.